GAUGAACGCUGGCGGCGUGCCUAAUACAUGCAAGUCGAGCGAACGGACGAGAAGCUUGCUUUUCUGAUGUUAGCGGCGGACGGGUGAGUAACACGUGGAUAACCUACCUAUAAGACUGGGAUAACUUCGGGAAACCGGAGCUAAUACCGGAUAAUAUUUUGAACCGCAUGGUUCAAAAGUGAAAGACGGUCUUGCUGGAACUUAUAGAUGGAUCCGCGCUGCAUUAGCUAGUUGGUAAGGUAACGGCUUACCAAGGCAACGAUGCAUAGCCGACCUGAGAGGGUGAUCGGCCACACUGGAACUGAGACACGGUCCAGACUCCUACGGGAGGCAGCAGUAGGGAAUCUUCCGCAAUGGGCGAAAGCCUGACGGAGCAACGCCGCGUGAGUGAUGAAGGUCUUCGGAUCGUAAAACUCUGUUAUUAGGGAAGAACAUAUGUGUAAGUAACUGUGCACAUCUUGACGGUACCUAAUCAGAAAGCCACGGCUAACUACAUG
Molecule: ribosomal RNA, 497 nt
Filed under: uncultured bacterium
Lineage: Bacteria
Description: partial 16S ribosomal RNA
Rfam family: Bacterial small subunit ribosomal RNA
Source: RNAcentral